This 253-nucleotide ribosomal RNA is filed under the name uncultured bacterium. RNAcentral's name for it is "partial 16S ribosomal RNA". It matches the Rfam family "Bacterial small subunit ribosomal RNA", at positions 524 to 776 of the family's 1533-position model. The record is from RNAcentral.
UACGGGGGGGGCAAGCGUUGUUCGGAGUUACUGGGCGUAAAGGGCUCGUAGGCGGCUAACUAAGUCAGACGUGAAAUCCCUCGGCUUAACCGGGGAACUGCGUCUGAUACUGGAUGGCUUGAGAUUGGGAGAGGGAUGCGGAAUUCCAGGUGUAGCGGUGAAAUGCGUAGAUAUCUGGAGGAACAUCAGUGGCGAAGGCGGCUUCCUGGCCCAAAACUGACGCUGAGGUGCGAAAGCGUGGGGAGCAAACAGG